UACGGAGGAUGCAAGCGUUAUCCGGAAUGAUUGGGCGUAAAGCGUCCGCAGGUGGCUGUGUAAGUCUGCUGUCAAAGAGCAAAGCUCAACUUUGUAAAGGCAGUGGAAACUACACGGCUAGAGUGCGUUCGGGGCAGAGGGAAUUCCUGGUGUAGCGGUGAAAUGCGUAGAGAUCAGGAAGAACACCGGUGGCGAAGGCGCUCUGCUGGACUGCAACUGACACUCAGGGACGAAAGCUAGGGGAGCGAAUGGG
Molecule: ribosomal RNA, 253 nt
Filed under: uncultured bacterium
Lineage: Bacteria
Description: partial 16S ribosomal RNA
Rfam family: Bacterial small subunit ribosomal RNA
Source: RNAcentral